Molecule: unclassified non-coding RNA, 191 nt
Filed under: rhizosphere metagenome
Description: partial ribosomal RNA internal transcribed spacer region
Source: RNAcentral
GUAGGUGAACCUGCGGAAGGAUCAUUAAUGAAUGUUUAGUCUUUGACUGAAAUUCUCCUUUACACACGUGCUCCUCAAGCUCAAUUGAGCUUGAGGCUCUUAUUUCCUUCCUAUUCUUAGUAGUCUGAAGCCAUCCACUUUGGAUGCAGAACAAGAAAUUAAAACUAUGAACAACGGAUCUCUAGGCUCUU